Molecule: transfer RNA, 577 nt
Filed under: Borreliella burgdorferi (Lyme disease spirochete)
Lineage: Bacteria; Pseudomonadati; Spirochaetota; Spirochaetia; Spirochaetales; Borreliaceae
Description: partial may contain 16S ribosomal RNA and 16S-23S ribosomal RNA intergenic spacer
Rfam family: tRNA (bases 266-339)
Source: RNAcentral
AGUAUUUAGUGGUAGGGAUUCGGAUAAGACUGCCAUUUAUAAGUUGGAGGAAGGCAAAGAUUGCAUUAAAUCGUUAUCGCUCUUAUGUUUUGAGAAAGAUAAANUAAGGCUAAUUCCAUUAACUCUUCCCUACUCUUUUCUUUUGAUAAGAGAGUUUUUAAAACCAGUGUUAUUUUUGUAAGUUUAAGAGAAGUUUGUGUAUUGAAUUUUUUAUUUUUAAUAUUAAAGAGCUUUGUUAAACUUAGACUUAAGUUUAGGUCAUUUUGGGGGUUUAGCUCAGUUGGCUAGAGCAUCGGCUUUGCAAGCCGAGGGUCAAGGGUUCGAGUCCCUUAACCUCCAUUGGGCUUAUGUCCUAAAUUGUAAUUAAGUAUGUUUUUAAGCAACUUUGUUAAAGUAAUUGUUAGAAUGUGAAAACAGAGAAAGUUAAAAUUUCUGGGUUAAGUUGAGAUCUGUUGAUAUUAAGAAGAAUCUCUAGAAGCAAAAGCAAGCUUUCGAUAAAACCCGAAGUUGUUUCGCUAAAGUGCAAGGAUUAAACAGGAUUGUAUUUUCCAGCAGCCUAUUUUAUAAACGAUCUGCA